RNAcentral lists this ribosomal RNA (525 nucleotides) under Staphylococcus aureus. RNAcentral describes it as "partial 23S ribosomal RNA". It matches the Rfam family "Bacterial large subunit ribosomal RNA", at positions 390 to 918 of the family's 2925-position model. The record is from RNAcentral. Lineage: Bacteria; Bacillati; Bacillota; Bacilli; Caryophanales; Staphylococcaceae.
GUCUCUCUUGAGUGGAUCCUGAGUACGACGGAGCACGUGAAAUUCCGUCGGAAUCUGGGAGGACCAUCUCCUAAGGCUAAAUACUCUCUAGUGACCGAUAGUGAACCAGUACCGUGAGGGAAAGGUGAAAAGCACCCCGGAAGGGGAGUGAAAUAGAACCUGAAACCGUGUGCUUACAAGUAGUCAGAGCCCGUUAAUGGGUGAUGGCGUGCCUUUUGUAGAAUGAACCGGCGAGUUACGAUUUGAUGCAAGGUUAAGCAGUAAAUGUGGAGCCGUAGCGAAAGCGAGUCUGAAUAGGGCGUUUAGUAUUUGGUCGUAGACCCGAAACCAGGUGAUCUACCCUUGGUCAGGUUGAAGUUCAGGUAACACUGAAUGGAGGACCGAACCGACUUACGUUGAAAAGUGAGCGGAUGAACUGAGGGUAGCGGAGAAAUUCCAAUCGAACCUGGAGAUAGCUGGUUCUCUCCGAAAUAGCUUUAGGGCUAGCCUCAAGUGAUGAUUAUUGGAGGUAGAGCACUGUUUGGA